This 509-nucleotide ribosomal RNA is filed under the name uncultured bacterium. RNAcentral describes it as "bacterial SSU rRNA". It matches the Rfam family "Bacterial small subunit ribosomal RNA", at positions 501 to 1006 of the family's 1533-position model. The record is from RNAcentral.
CUACGUGCCAGCAGCCGCGGUCAUACGUAGGAUCCGAGCGUUAUCCGGAGUGACUGGGCGUAAAGAGUUGCGUAGGUGGUUCGAUAAGCGAAUAGUGAAAUCUGGUGGCUCAACCAUUCAGACUAUUAUUCGAACUGUUGAACUCGAGAGCAGAAGAGGUAGCUGGAAUUUCUAGUGUAGGGGUGAAAUCCGUAGAUAUUAGAAGGAACACCGAUGGCGUAGGCAGGCUACUGGGCUGUUUCUGACACUGAGGCACGAAAGCGUGGGGAGCGAACCGGAUUAGAUACCCGGGUAGUCCACGCCGUAAACGAUGGAUACUAGCUGUUUGGGGUAUCGACCCCCUGAGUAGCGAAGCUAACGCGUUAAGUAUCCCGCCUGUGGAGUACGAUCGCAAGAUUAAAACAUAAAGGAAUUGACGGGGACCCGCACAAGCGGUGGAUCAUGUUCUUUAAUUCGAUGAUAACCGAUAAACCUUACCAGGUCUUGACAUCCUUGGAAUUUUUCAGAAA